RNAcentral lists this ribosomal RNA (447 nucleotides) under uncultured bacterium. RNAcentral's name for it is "bacterial SSU rRNA". It matches the Rfam family "Bacterial small subunit ribosomal RNA", at positions 329 to 792 of the family's 1533-position model. The record is from RNAcentral.
CACCAGACUCCUACGGGAGGCAGCAGUGGGGGAUAUUGCACAAUGGGGGGAACCCUGAUGCAGCGACGCCGCGUGGGUGAAGAAGUAUUUCGGUAUGUAAAGCCCUGUCGGCAGGGAAGAAUUUAGACGGUACCUGACUAAGAAGCCCCGGCUAACUACGUGCCAGCAGCCGCGGUAAUACGUAGGGGGCAAGCGUUAUCCGGAUUCACUGGGUGUAAAGGGAGCGUAGACGGCCAUGCAAGCCUGGAGUGAAAGCCCGGGGCCCAACCCCGGGACUGCUCUGGGAACUGUGCGGCUGGAGUGCGGGAGGGGCAGGCGGAAUUCCUGGUGUAGCGGUGAAAUGCGUAGAUAUCAGGAGGAACACCGGCGGCGAAGGCGGCCUGCUGGACCGCGACUGACGUUGAGGCUCGAAAGCGUGGGGAGCAAACAGGAUUAGAUACCCGAGUA